GACGAACGCUGGCGGCGUGCUUAACACAUGCAAGUCGAACGGAAAGGCCCUGCUUUUGUGGGGUGCUCGAGUGGCGAACGGGUGAGUAACACGUGAGUAACCUGCCCUUGACUUUGGGAUAACUUCAGGAAACUGGGGCUAAUACCGGAUAGGAGCUCCUGCUGCAUGGUGGGGGUUGGAAAGUUUCGGCGGUUGGGGAUGGACUCGCGGCUUAUCAGCUUGUUGGUGGGGUAGUUGCUUACCAAGGCUUUGACGGGUAGCCGGCCUGGGAGGGUGGCCGGCGACAUUGGGACUGAGGUACGGCCCAGACUGCUACGGGAGGCAGCAGUGGGGAGUAUUGAACAAUGGGAGGAAGCCUGAUAAAAAAACGCCGCGUGCGGGAUGACGGCCUUCGGGUUGUAAAAAGCUGUCGCCUGGGACGAAGCGUGAGUGACGGUAAUGGGUAAAGAAGCACCGGCUAACUACGUG
This 468-nucleotide ribosomal RNA is filed under the name uncultured bacterium. RNAcentral's name for it is "partial 16S ribosomal RNA". It matches the Rfam family "Bacterial small subunit ribosomal RNA", at positions 28 to 507 of the family's 1533-position model. The record is from RNAcentral.